GAAUUUGGUUAAGGUUCAUGGUUUGUAAGCCCAAUUUAGGUUUACAUUAUGACGACAGCGGCAGUGAAAGCGGAGCACCGCGGUAGUCUAAUAAAAUUAUUUUACCGGGUUGGUCAAGUAAAUCUUUCAGCUAUAGUAUUCAGGAUUGUGAGCGGAGUGGAAACAUUGCACCAGUAUAGGGUGAAGAGGCGGGUAAUACUGGUGCCAGCACCAGCGGUUAAACCAAUGUCCUCAGGCUAACCUAAUUGUGAUUUGGUAUAAUGUUAUAAAUCUUUAUCUUCCCCCCAUUUAGGGUAGAAACAGAUGGGGCGGCUAAUUUCAAUAACGCAGGCAACCUAAAACCUGGGAUUAAAACGGGGAAAAUCCCCUUAUUAAUGGCGCCAGAAAAAUCACGGCGACUGAAGUUUAAAGUCAAUAUACUUGGCGGUGCUGCGAAUUCGUUUAGGGGAGUUUGGCGGUUAAUUCGAUGAACCACGUGUACUUCACCUUGUUAAUAUUUUCUAUACAGCCGUUGGUAGUCAUCUUUUAAGAAGAAUGGCGAAGCUCUUUAAUGAAGAGAAAUUCAGGUAAAUGUGGAGAUUAUAACAAGGGCUCAGCUGAGCUACAAUCCGAUGCGGACAUGAGCGCUCAUUUGAAAAAGUGGGUAAUAAGUGGACUUAACAGUAAAAAAUUUGCAGAAGAGAUUUUUGAACUGUGGAUCGCGGCGCGUACAAACCGCCCAACACUUCCGUAUUUAAAAACUGGGAUAAGUUGUAACAUGGAAAUGGUAGGCAAACUUGCCGUUUG
RNAcentral lists this ribosomal RNA (786 nucleotides) under Cerastoderma edule. RNAcentral describes it as "12S ribosomal RNA". The record is from RNAcentral. Lineage: Eukaryota; Metazoa; Mollusca; Bivalvia; Cardiida; Cardiidae.